Molecule: ribosomal RNA, 497 nt
Filed under: uncultured bacterium
Lineage: Bacteria
Description: partial 16S ribosomal RNA
Rfam family: Bacterial small subunit ribosomal RNA
Source: RNAcentral
GAUGAACGCUGGCGGCGUGCCUAAUACAUGCAAGUCGAGCGAACAGACGAGGAGCUUGCUCCUCUGACGUUAGCGGCGGACGGGUGAGUAACACGUGGAUAACCUACCUAUAAGACUGGGAUAACUUCGGGAAACCGGAGCUAAUAACGGAUAAUAUAUUGAACCGCAUGGUUCAAUAGUGAAAGACGGUUUUGCUGUCACUUAUAGAUGGAUCCGCGCCGCAUUAGCUAGAUGGUAAGGUAACGGCUUACCAAGGGAACGGUGCGGAGCCGACCUGAGAAGGUGAUCGGCCACACUGGAACUGAGACACGCUCCAGACUCCUACGGGAGGCAGCAGUAGGGAAUCUUCCGCAAUGGGCGAAAGCGUGACGGAGCAACGCCGCGUGAGUGAUGAAGGUCUUCGGAUCGUAAACCUCUGUUAUUAGGGAAGAACAAAUGUGUAAGUAACUAUGCACGUCUUGACGGUACCUAAUCAGAAAGCCCCGGCUAACUACGUG